This is a long non-coding RNA of Sinocyclocheilus grahami, 466 nucleotides long. RefSeq lists it as uncharacterized. The record is from RefSeq and is a predicted model, not a curated record. NCBI's taxonomy places the organism in Eukaryota, Metazoa, Chordata, Actinopteri, Cypriniformes, Cyprinidae. The transcript is spliced from 3 exons.
UGGGUUACCUCUUUUUCAACUCGUUGCAGGCUCUUCCUCUUUGUUAGGAUGUUGCAAGAUUGUGUUAAGAACACUGAGUGGAGCAGGUCAUUAGAGGACUAGUGACAUGGCAGGAUUGUGUGACGGGCUCCUCCUCCUCUUCAUAGGGCCCACCAAUGAGAGACACUUCAGGUGCUGACCUUAUCAGGUGGAGGUCAAUGCCAGGUCUUCACCAUGACAGACUCUUCUGUCACUGUCGCUCUGAGUCUGGCGGGUUAACGGCAGGUCAGAGGAUUUGGUGAUCAGUGGUUCAGUGAGCCGUGAGCCCUGCUGGACAAGCUCUUUGAUAAGGGGACUGCUGCUUCUGUGCUUGCCCACUUCUGAAGCUUGGGUGAGACUGGCACGUUCUGAAAGGCUAAGUCUCAAUUUCUGGGCACUUGCCAGCUGACAUUCCACUGAGACAAGCUAAGGGAGAGAGAGGGAGAGA